CUCUAUGGCCAUAUCUCCUCAGAUGCACCUGAUCUCAUCUGAUCUUGGAAACUAGGCUGGGUUGGGCCUCAGAAGGCAGAUAGACCUGAAGAGGUAAGGUGAGGAAUGGGAGGAACUAUAGGAA
Molecule: ribosomal RNA, 124 nt
Filed under: Dipodomys ordii (Ord's kangaroo rat)
Lineage: Eukaryota; Metazoa; Chordata; Mammalia; Rodentia; Heteromyidae
Source: RNAcentral